Molecule: long non-coding RNA, 11958 nt
Organism: Cavia porcellus (domestic guinea pig)
Lineage: Eukaryota; Metazoa; Chordata; Mammalia; Rodentia; Caviidae
Exons: 4
Source: RefSeq, a predicted model, not a curated record
AGAAGGAUUUCAAAUUUUGACCCUUGCUUUGGAGAUCUCAUGCCAAGAUAUCCAAUUUGUCUUGCCAUCUCCUGUACCUCAGAUCCUUAUCUCCCAAUGGGCAGACACAGCCAUUUCUGUGUUCAACAAUUGAGCUCUAGGUAAGGAUAAUGGAGAAGGGCUAAGAAACAAGACAGUAAAAUUACAACUGUCCAAAUUGGCAAUGCUUUAAGCACAUACAAGUCAUGCAAGGAAAAGCCCAGGGCCAGCUAAGGUCUGUGACACAACUGUGACACUGGACACAUGAGUGCACCACCUGGGCCUUUCUUCAUGUGUCAGGUAGCUGAUGUGCUUUGACUCGUGGCACCCAAUUACUGUCUGUCCCUGCUCUCAGAGAGGAAUAAGGCCAGUCAAAACUUUCACCUCCCAUACUAAUGAAGAGGAUGGAAUGGAUAUGGAGCAACCUUAAUGCCCUUGUCCACAGAUAACACUAUUUCCUGUAAAGAGCCCAGGAUAUCAUGAGUAAGGAAAGUCAAUUCUGUUUUAGCUUCCUUCUGCAGAAAACCCUCCUCUAGAUCUACAGUCAUAAUUUGGGUUGAGGGGAUCCUUAGUCAGAGCUUCUUUACACCUGCUCUUAUAUAAGAGCAUGUCUCUUUGUUGUAUAUUGAAGUGAAUGACAAUGACCUGCCUGGGAAGACAAGACUGCCUCUAAUUUUACUAGCAAGUCUCCUCUUAUAGCCAAUAGGGCACUAAGGGACAAUUGAAAGACCAAACAUUCAACCAUGAGUUUUUAAUUGUCCCACAGUGCCCUAUUGACCGAUUAAAAGACAUGUCUAAAUUCUCCUUGGGAAAUCAAAAGAUGAUAGAGAGGCAAAAAGGGCAAUGAUAUUUGUUAUUGUUUUAUGUUUGCUUCUUGAUUUUUGUUUUUUUCUCUUUAAAAUAAAAAAUAGAGAAAUAACCCUCCUACCCCCCCCCCCAAAAAAAAAACCCUAACCUUAUUUUCACUUUCUGAGGAACCAUUAAAACUAGGAAACUGGUCAUUCUUCAAGGGACACAGUAGAAAGCAAUAAUAACCCUACAUGAAAAAUGGUGAAUCAUAUUUUCAUAUGACUAGGACUACCAGUGACUUCCUGACAGGUUUGCAAAGCUUUCUCACUAACCUUGUAAAGUUCAGACCAUCUUGUUUGUUAGAACUUGUGCAAAGGAGAUGAACACCUCUUAGGAAAGACUGAGAAUUAUAAAGCUGGUUCUACUUGAACUGUCUGAAAAAAAAAAGACUAUCCAAAAGAAGAAAGUUAUUCCUGUAAAUCUCUAGAAGAACUGAGGCUCAAAUUUUUCUCUUUUUUCUUUUCUUUGCUUUUUUUUUUUUUUGAGGCUCUUCUUUUAAAAAGUAACUCUAGUUUUUCUCUAAGAAAAGAUAAAUAGAAUCAUAUCCACUGUAGGUCGUACCUAUUUGUCCCUUCUUCAGGAAGUAGCAAUAUGAUAACAGAGAUCACCACACCCUUUGUAGCAUGAAGAAUUGUGGGGAUUUAUGUGUCUAUGGAGAAAAUGAGGCAGGCAAUUAUGGUGUAGCAAACUGACUGAGCAAAUGGUCAUGCUCUAUCAUAUCAUGAAGAUCCAGCAAAACAGUUUACAAACCCCUGUGUGCUAGAGCAAUCAAAGAAUUCUGUCUUCAGUUCUUAUGAAAACUGAAGUAGGUUUUUUAUAGGACAGUGUAGAUUUAACAUCAAUCUGAAGAAUAGGAGAUAUAAAAGAUGGUCACCAUUUGUCUCCUAGACAUUGUGUGCUCUUUUUCACAGUGGUGUACUUUGUCCCUGCAGAGUAUACUUUUUCCAGUAUUUAGUUGACCCACACUCAGUUUCAAUGCAAAAUCGUUGUGACUGAUUCAUGAGAUAAACUUAUGGAAAGCCAAGGGUUUGAGAAACAAGCAAGUUUAUUUGAUAAGAGAAUGACAGACCAGCUAAGAGUGGCUGAUGCUGUUGAUGAUGAGUCUUCAUUCCCCCAAACUUUUAUACUGGAUUGUGAGAUCAAAGGUUUUUGGUUACCAUAGCAACCAUAUCACAGUACAUCACUUCAUUGAAAUGCCAUAAGAUCCUUUUCCUCAACCACUGGUCUUUUUUCACACAGGAUUAGGGCAGUGGUCAUUUUGGCCAGUGUACUAAAACUGCCUGUUCCUUAUCUAACUGCUUGGUUCUCUUUUAUGAGAUUUAUGGCUAAGUACAGUGGAGGGAGGAUUUUAGGAGUGAGGUCAUCUAAAGUUUAGCUAUAAGCUAAAAUGCACACUAAAAGGAAAUGGAAUCACAGUUACUUCCAUUACUUCAACAAAAACUCAUUUGCAUUUACCCUUAUUUUGUCCAGUUCUUUGUUUAAGACAGGAAGACCCUAGGAAAAAACUCUAGAAAGGGUCUCUAGAACUCUAGAACCUGGUUUAAAAAUGGGGAGAGCAUUUGUUUUGGUAAAAGAUAAAAAGGGUUUAUUGAGAAUUAUGGUGUAGCAAACUGACUGAGCAAAUGGUCAACUCUGAAGUGAUGAAGAGGCCUCAUCAUACAGAUCAACAUCUCACAAUGUGCAGUUGUGUCAGAAUCUUUUAUAGCAAGGAAGAGUACAAGCAAGGAUAAAAAGAGACAAAAAUAUCAUAGCUUACCAAUUACUAUUAUGGAAAUGCAGUUGUUGCACCCUAAUUAUAAGGUCUCAAAAAGGAAAAUAGUCCACCUUUAAAAGCUAAUUCAAGAAGUUUGUUAAGAUUAGAGAUGCAAAGACAAACAAAAAGAAUAAAAGCUACCAAAAAAGGGAGAUAAGGACUAGAGUAGAUGGUAUGGAAAAAAUGGUAUACUAAGCUAAUUGACACUUCCUCUCUACCCUUGGCUGUGCUCUUCAGUGUUAAAUAGAAAAUAUUAGAAAUGCAAGACAAUCUGGUUUUUUAUUUAACUUUUUUUUUUUUUUAUCUUUUUCCUUUUUAUCGGUACCGGGGGUCGAACUCAUGACUGCCUGCUUGCAAGGCAGGUGGCUUAUGCUGCUGAGCUAAAUCCCCAGCCCUUACUUAACUUUUUUGAACUCAAGUCCUUUGAAACAAGUCCCCAUUCUUUGGCUCUCUGUAUAAGGCCAAAACAAAGAAAGCAUGUUGGCCCUCUUUAUCUUCUUUGUGGAUAUCCACCAAGAGCUUUUUCUCAUUAUUAUUCCUAAUAAAUACUCUCCUUAAUUCCUACUUUCAUACUUAAAUCUAUUCUUCAACUUUAGGACACAGAGAAUUUACAAUUUAUAAAAUUACAAAUUUUACAAUUUACAAUUUACAAUUUUACAAAAUUAACCAUUUAGUAAGACAUGUUUAUUCUUAUUUCCUCCCUUCCUGGACUCAAAUCUUUUCCCUUUUUUGCCUAAGGAAAUGGAACUGGGCCUUCAUGUCCUGGUGCUGGCACCUACAUACCCAGUCAAUCUUCUGGGCUCAGGAGAAGUGAAAGUAGAUAUUUACGCCCUGGGCCUGAGGAAUUCUGGAAGAGCCACUUGCCUUGACAAGAAACAUCUUAAAUUUUAAAAUUCUAUUUUGCAUCCAAGGAUAUAGCUCAGUGAGUAGUACAGUGCCUUCCUGGCAAGGGUGAGGUCAAGAGUUCAAUCCCCAGUACCAAUAAAUAAAUUUCCAUUUUGCAGGGCUGGGGAUUAAGUUCAGCACAGUGCUUGACAGCAAGCCUAAGGCCAUGAAUUCAAUUCCAGGUUCAAAAAUAUUUUUCAUUUUGCUGUGACAAUUAAAACUUUCUCCUCUGAUUUGAUACAGCCCUCAGUAUUAAAGGCCUUAAGGUACCACAUCCUUAGGCUGACUUUCACACAUUGGAUGGGCAUGUAGAUUCUAAGUAGCUGGAGCAUAAGUGGAUGUCAAGUAUUUGACCCUAAAAAGGGACCACCAAUGAUUAAAAAUGGCAAAGUAAAAGCUGUUAACAAACUACAGUCUAUCUUGGAUUUGGAAUUGAGACAACUGAAAAAGUAACAACUUAGUGAAGAAAAUAAGAAACAGAUCUCCAGGAAUCAGGAAGGAGCUGACAGCAAACCUAGAAACUGCUGGAAUGAAUGGAGAAACUGAGUACAAGGACUUCUGGAAGAACAUGGUGGAUAGAUAAUAGCAGCUAUGAAGGCUCUCUGAGGUAGCCAGCUUAGAUUCCAGGAAUGGUGCAGUGUGGGGAGUCCUAAGCAGGGCAAGUUAUAGCCUGGCAACCCAGGAAUGAACUAAGCUGAAAGAAAGCAACUGGAAAUAUAAUCCUGGUGUUAUGACUGGAACAGCUAAAGUAUCUGCCAAAGCAGGAACUUGCACCUCUGAAAAUCAGCUUGAAUUUCCUGUCACUGCUGCUGCAUCUGAAUUGGCACAGCAGGGAUAGAGAUGGGAAAGAGCUGAGAGUGGGAAUCGGUGAAGCAAAUUGAGAACAGAGCUAGCCAGGAGCCCUGCAUUGACCUGCGGUGAGUGAGAGGAACAAGGACCCUUCCAUAGACUAGGAGGCUCCAAUAGAGGACAUCCUGUGACCAGACAGACUAGCUGGAACAGGACACUGCAGUGACUUCAGUCACAUAUUCCACUCUCAAGCAGGAUUUGUGGGGGGCACUUGACCUGGGUGAUGCCAUGGGCUAAGACCCAGUAGGCUAGCCCAAACCAGGUCCCUGCACCUGGCAGUGCACCCUGGGGCAGGCUCACAUAGGCUGUCCAGGUCUGUGUCUCCCUAGUACACUGCAGUGGGCAGGAACACCUAGCCAGUAUGAUUCAAAUAAACUGUAACUGACAAAGAAAGAAACUGGGCCUCCUAUAUAUGCUUGUAUGGAAGGAACAAAAAGUAUGGGAAGAGGGAGUAACAAGACAGGGUCCUUGGCCCCCAAUCCUGAGAACACUGACCCAGGAAAGAUAAAUGCAAAGGAGAGUGAGGACAGAAAACAUGUAAUAUCAGGCACGGCACCAAUAGACAUAAAGCGAUAUCUCUGGGACCUCAUAGACAAGUUCAAAAGUGAAGUAUUUAACCAAGUAAAGCAAGAUAUAAGUAGAAUAGUUAAAGAAAUGCUAAGAACCUCCCAAGAAAAAACACAUGGUAGAAUGGAAGAACAGAAAAGAAGGGGAGAAUUGUUUGAUGGAGAAAAUAGAGAAAACAUAGAAUACAUGAAGCAGGUUCAAAGAGAUUACCAGGAAACUAAAAACUAUUGAAAACUGACAUAACAGCUUGAGAGAAACUAAGGAUAGACUAUCUGAACUGGAAGACAGAUUUGUAAUGUGGAAGCAUGAAAGGAAAAACUUCUUAAAAAUAACAAGGAAACAAGCAGUGACAAUACAAAGGCUAGAAGGUGAUAAGAGGAUCUAUAACUUAAGAAUGUAAAGGAAGAAGCAGGGGUACAAACAAAUGAACUGCAAAGGCUAUUCACAGAAAUAAUCAAGGAGAAGUUCCCUAAUAUGGGAAAAGGUAAAGAUACUCAGAUCUAUGAGGCAUACGGGACCCCAGCCACCUACAACCCAAACAGAACUACACUCAUGUAUAUAAUAAUCAAAAUUCCAGAAAUCCAAUAUAAAAACAGAAUAUUAAAAGCUGUCAGAGACAAGAAACAGAUCACUUACAAGGGAAUACCCAUCAGAAUAAUGGCAGACUUCUCACCACAAACCAUCAAAUCAUGAAGAGUGUGGGGCAAAAUAAUUCAAGCCUUGAAAGACAAUAACCUCCAUCCAAGAUUGAUAUAUCCUGCACAAUUGUCCCUUGAAAUUACUGGAAAAACAAGGUGCUUCCAGGAUAAAGAGGAACUAGGGGAAUUUGCAACCACCAAUUCAACUCUAAAGAGAAUACUGCAGGACAUUCUAAAAGAGAAAAAUACCAAGAUUCCAGAAACAGUGGCAGAGAGGCCACAAUGAAUGGAGCAGAAAGCAAAAUGAAGAAGACAAACUGACAACUAAUGACAGAAAAAGAGCUCAACAGAAAUGAGGCAGAGAAAGUUGGAUGAUAGGAACAACUAUUUUAAAGAAAAGAAGACAUCAUAAUAGCUAAUGCUGAUUUAAUAUCAUCUUUUUUUGAAGUCCCAUCGAGCUUUUGUUCUUCUGUCUCCAUUGUUCUUAACUGGUUGCAUCUUAUUGGAUUUUAUUACAUGUGAUAGUAUAAACAAAAACUUUUAUAGACAAGGAGAUUAUACAGAAACUAUUGUUCAUUUUCUGUUAGUUGGUCCUAAAUAUCCUGUAAUAAUGUCAUUCUCUUGAAUAAAUUUACCCUGUCUUGAUAUGUUUGAUGCUAGAGUAUACAAGUUUUACUCAAAGAUUUCAAGGAAAGAGACACAAUGGUAACUACUUUUAUGUUGGGAUAUCUUGUGGUGAAACACUAUUUUUCUUAAAUGGUUAUGUUCUGACCUGUGCUGUUUUGUUAUGUCCUCUUUUAUCUCAGUCUCAUUUUUUUAUUAUUUAUUUUUUUAUCUUUUUAAUUAAGGGAAAAAUAUAUAAAAAUAGCAGAAUAUAUUAUAGUAACUCACUUUGAUCUCCUACUAACUUGAUUUGAAACCCUCUAUUGCUCUCACCACUUUGUUUUGACUGAUUUUGCUCUAUUCUCUUUUGCUUGAUAGUACCAAGUUUGAAAGUAUAUACAACAACUCUGAAGACACUAAGAUUCACUAUGAUGCCCGUUCUGGUUUGACUAUCAUCUUCUUUUGAAGUCCUAGAGAGAAACUGAGUACAAAGCUGAGAAAAGAAUGAUGCAGUUGGAAAUCCUAACCCCAGAUCUUGAAAAAGGGAACCUGUCUUCUCUAACACAAGGGUUGACAGAAAGCAACUUUUUGAAGUUCACAAGUCUCCCCUUAUCUGAAUGCAUUUUCUUUUCUUCUGAAGGCACUGCCAAAAAACUAUAUGUGGCCUAGUCCCUCAGUGACAAGGUAAAUUUCCCUGAUGCUCCAUCAGAAUAAGUCCCACUUUGUUUCCUUUUGGUCCUCUAUUUAAAAAUGAUGAAAAACCAAACAGUCAUAUCAAAAAGGGCCACAGUCAUGUGCAGCCUAUUUGGUCCUCGCUGUGCCCCACCCAGUGAAUUCCAGGUAACUGGGCUUUGCAUAUGUAAGCAGAAACUCACCAGAAUGAUUACUACCUAGCUGUGCAGUGGUAGCUCUUUGCUUGGAACCUGUUGGAGCCACACCCAGAGACCCCAAGAAGCCUGGGAGAUUUGAUGUGCUAUGUGGUGUGAGCUGAAAGCCUGCCCAGUAUACCCCACAUACCAUUCAGCCUUACUAUGCUACUCAGAAACAGGUAGGGCCCUAUUCAGUGACCUCAAGCAGCCAGGGAGCUUUGUUGAGCUACAUGGGGUGUGUUGAAAUUCCAUCCAGUGCACAACCCCCACCUGGUGAGCUGUUAAAUGCCCCUAGGGAUCCAUGGAAUACAGGAAAAUGACAACAUGAAAGAGCAAAAUGCAAUUUCAAACCUCCAGUGCAUCCCAAAUGAGCCUAGAAAAUAUAAGCCAUAAACCUGGAAUUACUGAAAUGAUAGCAACUGAAGUAAAGAAACAACUCCAUGAAGCUGUAAAGGAACUCAGAUCAUAAAUAAUCUCCCAGAUCAAAGAAGAAAUGAUAAACAUAGUUUUAAAAAGUUGAAGAACACUACAAAAAGAUAGAAACCUUGCAUGAACAACAUAAGAAAGCAAUAGAAUGCAUGAAGCAGAUUCAAGGAGAUACCCAAGAAAUUAAAAAAAAAAAAAAACAUCAAAAGCUGGCAAAAUCACUUGAAUGAAUGUGAAGACAGGUUUUCACACCUAGAGAACAAGACUGCAGCUACUGAACAAGAAAGGAAAGAUCUUUUAAAAAUAACAAGGAGGAAAAAGCAACAUACCUCCCUUCCUGUUCUGGGAAGAAGCGGAAUAGCUGGGUCAAACAGGACCUCCAAUUCUAGUUUUCUGAGAAAUCUCCCCACUGACUGCACCAGUUUACACUCCCGCCAACAGUGGAGAUGGAUCCCUUUUUCCCCAUAGCCCCUUGUUAUGGGUUGAGAACUGGUGGUCAACUUAAUGCCAGCUGGAUUACAUCAGCAUGCAUUGAGCGGAGAUGCGCCACCUGAGAAGGGUUGCCAGGAUAAAUAGGUGGAGAAGAAGGGUGGUGUUGAGGGUUGAGGCACUAAGGAGGCAUUGUGUGUUCUCUGAAGAGUUGCUGUUUGAGCCAUUGGUUCUCCUGGGGAAGCUUUGGUCCUCACAUCGAGCAUUGCUUCCUGGCUCCGGAGGGGAAGACACGUGCUGCUUGGUCUCCAGGAUGAACUCGUCACACUGCUUCCUGGCACGUACCCAACUGUGCUUGUUGUCAGAGGAGCUCAGGGCCUCCGUGUCACUGAGGACAGCUGUGAUGCCUUUCAGGAUAGCCCUGGUCUUUGUGAGUGUGACUCCUCAGCUCCAGCGUAGAACCCUCAUCCCACUAUCACAGCUCCUUAAUCCUGCUGGCAUAGACUUUCUGGCUUUCCCCGCUGACCCUUGGAUCUUCCUGGCAUGGAUCCAUAAAACAGACUGGUGUGAGUCCUUCUUGUGGGCUCUGGACUUCCAGUUGGACUCAUGGGAGGCAUUGUCCUGAGCUCUGGGUUUUUAUCUGGACUCAUGUGGGACAUUGCGGUGGGGUUUAAGGCUCUUGACUAAAUAAUCUAUGUCUUUGCUGUUGCGGAUAGAUUUCCUGCAUUUUCCUGUGUUAACUUCCCGUGACCAUUAUAAAAAUAUUAUAAACUCCAUGUCCUGAUCUGAAUUGUUCGCUGUGUACAACCCCUGACUACAACACCCCUCUAGUAUUUGUUACUGGCUGAUUUCUUGGUUAUAGCCAUUCUUUCUGGGGUGAGAGGAGAAUCUUAGUAUUGUUUUAAUUUGUAUCGCUUGAAUGACCAGUGAUGUUUAACAUUUUCUCAUAUAUUUAUUUGCUGUUCAUAUUUUUUAUCUGAGAAGUAUACAUUCAUUUCAGAUGCCCAUUUUUUGUACUGGGUCUUUAAAUCUGGGAGAGACUAAAGAUUCUAAGGAGGGAAAAAACCCCUUGAAUUGUUUAAUAUUGACUAUAAAAUUAGGUAUGGGCUAGUCACAUAUAGCCUUUUAUGUAGUGAGCUACAUUUUUUACACUUAAUUUCCAGCACAAAAUGUAUCCUGAAGAAAAUGUAAAAUGCUAUCAAAUGCUUUUUUCUGUAACUAUUAAGAUUUAUUAGUUUAUUUUUCACUUUGUGGAUAUGAUGUGACACAUUUAUCACACUUUGAACCAUGCUUGUAUGUUCAGAAUGAAUCCUACUCUAUAAUGGCAAAUCAUCCAUUUAGUGUGUGCCAUUAAAUCUGAAUUGCUAGUAUUUUUCUACCCAUGUUCAUCAGGAAUAUUGGCCUAUUUUUAGUUUCCUCACCUGAAUUUACUAUCAAGAUAAUGUAAAACAUAUAAAAGUGGAAGUACUUAUUCCACUUCAUUUUUUUAAUGAUUUAGUGAAAAGUUAGCAAUAGCUUAUCUUUAAAUGUUUUCUACAAUUCAGCAAGAAAAGCACCAAACCUUAUUCUGUUUAGAAGAAAUUCAGUGAUUCAAUCUUAUUAAUGUAUUCAAGUCUUCUAUUCCUUUAUGGUUUAGUACAUUAUAUUUCUAAGAAGUUAUCCAUUUCUUCUGAGCUGUAUAAUUUCUUAUGAUCCAUUGUACCUUGGUGGCAUCAGUGCAAUGUCCCUUUUUAAAAAUGUGGUUCUGAGGAGUUGAAGUGAGAACUUCAAGCAUGCAAAACCAUGUGCUCUAACAGUGACAUAUAUCCUUACACCAUUCUUUCAGUUUUGAUGUUGAGAUUUUUAGUGCCAAAGUUGGGAUACACAGAGAUUUAUCAAUUUUAUCUUUACAAAGAACCAUUUUGUGUCUAAUUUUUUAGCAUUUUACCUUUUUAUUUGGUGUAUGUUUAGAGUACAUAAUCUUUACAUUCAUCUUAAGAAGUUACAUGUACUUAAAAUAUCUUGAUUAUUUGUAUUGCCUUUCACCUUCCGACUUACCUCCCUUGCUCUUUGGCUAAAUCUCCUUUCCCUAUUUUAUUACACUUGUAGUUCACUUUUGCAACAUAUAAAGAUUGCAUUCAUUGGGCAUAGUUAGUAUAUACACAAUGACACAUCUUAAAUCUUUUUAUGUUUCCAUCUCCUACCCUCUCCCUUCAUCCUUAGUCUCUUGGUCUCCUUCCCAUUUGCAAAAGAUCUCCCAGUUUCAUUUUAUUAAUCUUUUAUUUUGUUCUGAAUAUGUACUUUGGAUUAUGCAAAUGAGAAAGCAUGUUAUUUAAGUUUGUAUUUUUCAUUUAUUCUUCAAGCUUUCUAAUAGUUUUCUAUGAUCUAUUUGUUUCCAAUAUAAACUUUGUGUUUUUUGUAAUUAUACUUAUUUUAGUUUGAUUUGUGAUAACGCUUUUACUUGGAAUCAUUUUUUGUGUAUUCCUUUAAUGUUACACAUUUUCCUACUAGAGCACAGUGCUAAUUAAUACACUAUGUUUCCAAUCUUGAUUUAUUAAUUUACAUAUACAUUUCUUCUUAUCCACUGAUUAAUCAGUGACAUUUAAUUUCCAUAUGUUUUUGAAUUUUCCAAACUUCCUCUUGUUAUUUCCAAUUUCCAGUCAUUGUGAUUAAAGUGCUUAACAUGAUUUCAAUAUUUUAAAAUUCAUUUUUUAUGACACAACAUAUAAUGUAUUCUUGAAAAAGUUCCAUAUACACUUGAGAAAAGUGUUGCUUCACUGGCUGUGGGAUGGAAGGCUAUGUAACCAUCAAACUCACUUGGUCUAAUGUAUAGCUAAAACCAGCAUUUCCUUAUGGAUAUUCAGUAUGGCUAUUCUGGCUAUUGAUUAAAGUGAGGUAUUGAAAUUCCUUGCCACUUUUGUAUACAGUCUUUCCUGUCAAAUCUCUUACAUAUUAGGUACUAAAGGGUUCGAUGCACAUAUAUUUACCUGUGUGGUAACUCUCUUGAUGAACUGUUCCUUUUAUUAUUGUGCAAUGGUUACCUGUAUCUUUACAUGAUUUUCUAACUCAAAUCAUAUUUUACCUGAUAAAUGUACCUGUGUUCUCUUUUGGUUUCAUUUGCAUAUAAUAUCUAUUUACAUCAGUUUACUUUAACUCUAUGUAUGUCACAAAAAAUUUAGUGUUAUAAAUCAUCAUAUAAAUAUCUUCUUUUCAUCUAUUCAUUCACUCAGUGCCUUCUGCUUGGGAAAUUCAAUCUGUUUGCAUUCAAAGUAAUUAUGGACAAUUUGUUUCUAUGAUUGCACUAAUUGAUUUUUUUUUUGUGUCUUUUUCAUUUUUAUCGGUACCGGGGAUCGAACUCACGACCGCCUGCUAGCAAGGCAGGUACUUAUGCCGCUGAGCUAAAUCCCCAGCCCCGCACUAAUUGAUUUUGGAUUGAGUUGUGUGUACUUCAUGUUUUCCUGUCUUGCUUUGUGACUUGAUUUUCUUUUCUAUUUUUUUUUUCUUUGCUGGUAAUGGAGAUCAAAUUCAGGACUCCGUGCUUGCAAGGCAGGUGCUUAUGCCACUGACCUAAAUCCCUAGCAGUGUGACUUGAUUUUCUAUAGCCAUAUGCUUUGAAUUCUGUCUUUUUUUUUCUGUAAUCUACUAAGGGUAUAGGUUUUCUGGUUACCACAACUGUUAUAAAAAUCACUAGUCCACAGAUUAGGUGUUAUACUUUACAUCUAGAUUUUCUCUCAAAGUCUCAUGUGGUCAUAAAUGGAGCUUUCCAGGGGUGGCUGGAUGUAAGAAGUGUAAUGCUUAGAUUACAGACAAGACACAGGGAUUAAAGGUGCAAUGCUGCAAUUAAAGGUAACCCACUCUGACUGUAAGUAUUACCCACCAAAAGGGCAAGGAGCCUAGAUGGAAUGUAAGGGACAGAAAAACGGUGGCUGCUGCUUCCUCCUUGCUACUCAACUGCUUUGCUGCCUUCUCCUUGCCAUGAAUUGUUUUUCCUGUUUAAUGCCCCUCUGCCAUGCUAUUCUGCCUUGGAGCCAGUCAAUUAUGGACUGAAACCUCUAUAAACUGUGAGGCUACAAUAAAUCCUUUUGAGUGUUGA